CCUACGGGCGGCUGCAGUGAGGAAUAUUGGUCAAUGGGCGCGAGCCUGAACCAGCCAUGCCGCGUGAAGGUCAGUGCCCUAUGGGCGUUAAACUUCUUUUAUAUGGGAAUAAAGUGAGGAACGUGUUCCUUUUUGUAUGUACCAUAUGAAUAAGCAUCGGCUAACUCCGUGCCAGCAGCCGCGGUAAUACGGAGGAUGCGAGCGUUAUCCGGAUUUAUUGGGUUUAAAGGGUGCGUAGGUGGUUAAUUAAGUCAGCGGUGAAAGUUUGUGGCUCAACCAUAAAAUUGCCGUUGAAACUGGUUGACUUGAGUAUAUGUGAGGUAGGGGAAUGCGUGGUGUAGCGGUGAAAUGUAUAGAUAUCACGCAGAACUCCGAUUGCGAAGGCAGCUUACUAAACUAUAACUGACACUGAAGCACGAAAGCGUGGGGAUCAAACAGGAUUAGAUACCCUGGUAGUC
Molecule: ribosomal RNA, 458 nt
Filed under: uncultured bacterium
Lineage: Bacteria
Description: partial 16S ribosomal RNA
Rfam family: Bacterial small subunit ribosomal RNA
Source: RNAcentral